CAAGUACUCCCUCCGUCCCUAAAUUCUUGUCUUAAAUUUGUCUAAAUACGGAUGUAUCUAGUCACAUUUUAGUAUUAGAUACAUGUGUAUCUUGACAAAUCUAAGACAAGAAUUUUGGGACGCAGGGAGUAUGUA
Molecule: non-coding RNA, 135 nt
Organism: Triticum aestivum (bread wheat)
Lineage: Eukaryota; Viridiplantae; Streptophyta; Magnoliopsida; Poales; Poaceae
Source: Rfam